Long non-coding RNA from Oreochromis aureus, 1327 nucleotides. The record is from Ensembl. Lineage: Eukaryota; Metazoa; Chordata; Actinopteri; Cichliformes; Cichlidae.
CUUUUAUUCAUCUGUAAAAAUGGUUAUUACAGAUACUCCUGUAAUUAAUACAACUACAAGAUAACAACCAAGUAAAAGUUUUUGUUGCUUUUGUUUUAAAUCAACCAUGAUUUUUAACUGUGUUAGAAUGGACUACAAUUACAGCCAUGACAGGCUGAAUGUUUGUGGAAUGCCGCUGUAGAAGGUAGGCACCGUUAGGUUGGUUCUUGGUUGCUCCAUCCUUACAGCUGACUAAUACAGUCCUCUACAGGUUUUGUCAAAUAAAGCAGCCUGAAAAUAUGAAUAUAUAUAUAGUAACAUAUAAGACUAAGAAUGAACAUAAAAAUAAGAAGGAAAUAUGCAAUGGGGCAAGAGGGAGAGAUGAAAGAGAAAACUGGAAAGAAAACAAGAACAUUGUAACUAAUACUUUAACGCUGUGGAGACUGAUGGUAAUUUAUCUGUCAUGACGUCACGUUGCAUUAGUGAAUUAACAUCAAUAAGUUAGAUAACAGGGGAAGCGGAGGAGAAGAAAAACAAUGUAGUGGAUUCUUAUAUGGAGUGGCGUCAAUCAACCAGGGAGUGGUGCUGAGGCUGAUCUGUUCAUCCACAGCGACCACAGCACGGGAGCCCUUCUGAAUGAAGAUCCACUGAAUGAGGAUCAGGACCUCAUGUCGCUCCGGAAUCUCUUUGGGGAACUGGUUGUUUACACUAAAGUCCGUUCCUUUCAGCUGCCUGUUCCUUCUGCUUGAAAUGUUGGAAUUUGGUCACAAUAGGACGCGGUCUUCAGGCAUCAUUCUUGCUGCCAGGCCAUGGACACAGUGGAAGAUUCCAGGAUGCCUGAAAACACCAGGGGAUAGUGUGGAAAUCGACCAUAGUGUCUUUUAUUAUUUUAAAAUCAUUAUUAUUUUACUUUCUUCACUGAGCUGGGUCACAUGACCAAGUCUCGUAGCGAGGCGUUUUCAGCAGUGAGUGUUUCCACCUGCUGCUGGCUGAACACCAAACAUUCCCUUACUGCUUUGGUGCGGUGCUCUUUGUCUGUUUGGCAUGCUGAAUAGAGGAGGAAACACGGUGCCGUUAUUAAUGUCACAGCCAAGGCCGACCUGGGAAAAAGACUCGAUAUGGAGAACACUCACGGAGGCACUGGUGGAGGUUUUUAGGCACGAGAGGGGGAAGAGGUCUGGGUGAGGCAGUGCUGUUUCCAGGUGGGGUGUUACGUAGGUGCUGUGACAGGAGGGCAGGUGAGUGAAAAAGAGAGCUUUUUGCACUGAGCUGUCUCGUACUGACCGGCAUCGGGAUGAUGGUGAAUAUGGCCAGCAGAGGAAAUGACAGACAGCAGGAUGACUGCAGG